UUUUAAUUAAAAAAUAUAUAUAUAUUAUAUUAUAUUAAUUAAUUUAAUUAAUUAAUUUAAUUAAUGUUAAUUUUUAUAUAUUAUAUUUUUAUAUUUUUCUAAAUUUUUAGCAUACACGGCCUUUCCUAAAGGGUAACAAAAACACCGUUAAAUCUUGCUCCUUGAAAAUGAAUUGCAACUUGCUUCAUUUAUUUAAUGAUAGUUUUUCAAGUCCACGAGCGCACGAGUCGUGUGGAUGGAGUUUGAGCUCCUCUCCCGUUGCCAACUCGCAUAAACAAAGACCGCAAUGACGGCAUUUACACAAGUAGGAACGUCUGGUACUUGGCUCUCUUUGUUGGGAGCCUAUAAAAGUGUUCCCCCCGCUCUGCAAUUACAAGCCGGAGCUGCCGAUCGGCGCUCUCUUCGCUCGACUAGUCGGAUCUGGAGGGAAGCACAGCACAGCACAGCCGGAGUCUGGCUGUAUGAAAAGCACUGCAAGGUUGGCUGAGGCAGCUCGGCUGAACUCAGAUGACCCACAUUCUGUGGCCGUCCAAUGGAAGGAGCGCAAAGGCUUGUUAUUCUCACAGAUUAUGAGACAGCCGCGCGCCAAUUGCAAGUUACGCCAAACACAACGUUUGCUUGAAGGAAGAAGAAGCUGAGAUAUAUUCAUGUGGUCAAACCGUUUGAGCACCAUUGCCACCCCAAAAAUUCUUUCCUGUCUUUUGCCUUGUAGACAGAAUCCAGCAAAGUGUGACAUUGCCGUGUUGCCGUGAUCAAAUGAUUUGAUGCAUGAAAGGAGACAUCUGGUGGGAUGUUAAAUCAAGACAGCCACAUUUUAAACACAACAAGGCGGGAAAUCAUUAGCCAUAAAGCAAGACAAAGACUGUUUGUAUAAUAGCACAAAGAACUCUUUGCAGAGGAUAAAGAAUAUAUGACAGGUCUCUGCCAGUUGACAUGCAGCCAGACAAGCACAGGCAAAGUCUUCUUCAGAUCAUCCUCAGGGAGCACACAAGUGGCACACUGUGGGGAGGGCUGUGAGAUCUUCAUUGUCAUCAUUGGACCUUUUUCUUUUUUUAUCUAGCUCACUUUAUAGGCUUAACUUUACGUGUCGUUUUUGCUCAGGCCACCGGAUGUGGAAAUUAGAUGCCACCUGACAGGAAAGCAAAUUGAAUGACAGACUUAUCAAACAUGUUUUCAUUUCACGAUGUCUCAAUGGAGUGACCUUUAGAAGAAUGUUCUUUUCAUGCUUAUUUGGUCAGAAAAAGAAGAUUGAGGCUUUUGGAAUAAGAGCAGAAGUAUUAGAGCGGCUUCUCUGCUGCAGCUGAUGCACUCCUGUGAGAAUGAAUGCACACUUUCAGUACGGUGCACAAAAGCAGCGCUCUAGAAUGUUCUCAGUGUUCAGCCCGAGCAAGGCGACGUGCCAUUCAGAGGGCCAUCUGGAUGUAUUAUUUGACAUAUUCUUUGCUCGCCCAAAAAAACACGACGUUCUCGCGUUUCGUGUGCGACUUCUUCUCGAGGAGAGGGUCUAUUUCCUCUUUCUCAGGGCGUUGUGUGAGUUGUGGCGAAAUAUGCGAGUGUUAAUCAACUCCCGGGCAUACGGCUACCAAAAGAGUAAGGAAAUCAGCUGCAGCUUCGAAAACCACAAGUUUUUUUUUUUAUGAUUGCAAAUCCUGAAGUAGAUGUUUUUUUUCUUAAACUCCGACAACGUGAUGGCUCCGGGGACCUUUUGUACUCUGAGAUAGCUUGUGUAGUGUCUAGCAUUGACAUCCAGUUCCAGGGCAAAUUGGCCAUUUCACAUUGUUUGUAGUAGGAGAGAAAAGCACAGCCUGACCACUUUGACAGUCAAUCUGGCUGUCAUGCCAAGGUCAGAGUGGCAAGGGAAAUAAAACGAAAAGCAUGAAAAGUCACAAGCAGAUUUAAUCCCUUAUAGCUGUAUUCUUCUUUUUGGCAGGUGGUCAGUGCUGUAACCUCCGGCUUAUUUCCAGGGAUUGAUUUUCAUGUCUGGGUACCAAAUUCAGAAAAACACCAGUAUUGUCGAGGUCAGGGAUAGAAAACUUAAAUCGUGGAAGGGUUGGCAUGGAAGGCAAUUACGAAACACAGUUAGUGUUAGCGCAAAACCUUCAGGCUCCUACUAUCAGGAAAAGCCUCCGAAAAAAAUCUUCAUUUGAUCAGAGGCACUUUAAAAGAGGGGCAGGUGUGCGCUGACAGGGGUGUGUAGACUUUUUAUGUAAGUCAAACCGACAAAUACUAGCUUUUCAGAAACAAGCUUCCACUAGCAUUAGCGACUUUGUACUUCAAGAAUAAAGGCUCUCAUCAUUUUCCUCAGUGAAAAAAAAUGUACGUCACCAAGUAUAAAAAAAAAUCAAAUAGAAAAAUUCCUCGCUGGUGGUGCAGCUUUUACGAUAUCCAUUUCUCUUCUUUAUAUGUUUGUGAUACGUCAAAGAUAACAAAUGUUAGCAUUCAUCUGUAAACACGCUACUGUUUUAGCUAGGCUUCUUCAAAACCAUCUUUAACAAAAACAGCUAACGGCUCACUCCGGUGUACAGUGACUUUAUUUAAAUGGAGAUAUUUUCUUCCUCUAUUCAUUAACUAACUGCUUUCCGUGAUCUCUAAAUCAUUAACUGACCUUCUGUUUGCAUUUUGUUUUAUCUGAAGUUGCCCUAGCUGUCACAAGUAGCAGAGCUAAUAUAGACGUAACGGGCUGUUUUCACCCAGCGUGCUAUUAUCAGGCAAGACAGUAUUUUUUUUUUCCACGUCAGAGGAAAGCUGACACAGCAAAAAGAAACGAGAAGAAGUUACUGACGGAAUGAAACUAUAAUCUCGGUACUUAUUUGUCCCAUUGUCUCUCUUCUGUUGCUGAAUGACACACCAUCAACGGUUCUUAUGACUAAUGAUGACAAAGCAGGCUGCUAUUUCACCUGUGUAGAAAACAAAAGAGGAUUAGUCAGAAGAUAAAUUUAAAUGCGACGUUGAAUUUGGAGCCCGGCGUAUUUUGAUCUCUCGCUGGGUUACAGGUGACAACAUAUUGAUAGUGAGAAACAAACUGUGGGCGGGAGGUGCAGCCGUCGGUCGGUCGGUCGCGUGAGGAGCUUCGGUGAGUCACAAACUCCAUGUUAUUGCCAGCAGUCUAGCAAGAUCUACUGGUUACGAAAAGCCCCGAAAUGAUUUCGCACUUAUCAGCAACUCCUGCUCACGUAACUUGCCUGGCAAACAAAGAUGACUGACUGAGACAACAACAGAAGUCAAGCUACAAGUACAAACAAGGCACAAUGCACAUUGUACUUAAUUUAGAUCUCUUGCCCACAAGAAAAUAGAGAUGAGGGUUUAUCACUCUAAAAUGUUCAGGCAGAACUGGCCUACACAUUGCCGUCAGUCGUAGUCAAAGGGCGGAGGCUAAAAGAAGGUCA
Molecule: long non-coding RNA, 3386 nt
Organism: Syngnathus typhle (broad-nosed pipefish)
Lineage: Eukaryota; Metazoa; Chordata; Actinopteri; Syngnathiformes; Syngnathidae
Exons: 3
Source: RefSeq, a predicted model, not a curated record